GGAGACGUAUCGAAGUGGUCAUAACGGGGCGCACUCGAAAUGCGUUGACCCUCCGGGGUCCGAGGGUUCGAAUCCCUCCGUCUCCGCCA
Molecule: transfer RNA, 89 nt
Filed under: Ruminococcaceae bacterium YRB3002
Lineage: Bacteria; Bacillati; Bacillota; Clostridia; Eubacteriales; Oscillospiraceae
Description: tRNA_Ser_CGA
Rfam family: tRNA
About the family: Transfer RNA (tRNA) molecules are approximately 80 nucleotides in length. Their secondary structure includes four short double-helical elements and three loops (D, anti-codon, and T loops).
Source: RNAcentral